RNAcentral lists this ribosomal RNA (253 nucleotides) under bacterium. RNAcentral describes it as "partial 16S ribosomal RNA". It matches the Rfam family "Bacterial small subunit ribosomal RNA", at positions 524 to 776 of the family's 1533-position model. RNAcentral also lists the same sequence under 1 other name. The record is from RNAcentral.
UACGGAGGGAGCUAGCGUUGUUCGGAAUUACUGGGCGUAAAGCGUACGUAGGCGGCUUUGUAAGUCAGAGGUGAAAGCCCACGACUCAAUCGUGGAACUGCCUUUGAGACUGCUUCGCUUGAAGAUGGGAGAGGUUAGUGGAAUUCCGAGUGUAGAGGUGAAAUUCGUAGAUAUUCGGAAGAACACCAGUGGCGAAGGCGGCUAACUGGACCAUUCUUGACGCUGAGGUACGAAAGCGUGGGGAGCAAACAGG